Molecule: long non-coding RNA, 558 nt
Filed under: Homo sapiens (human)
Lineage: Eukaryota; Metazoa; Chordata; Mammalia; Primates; Hominidae
Description: non-protein coding lnc-NGFR-3:4
Source: RNAcentral
GGUGGAGAAAGGUCUGCAUUACCCACUGGGGGGAUGAUGCAGCAAGAAGACCCACACCAGAUGAGGGCGCCUUGAUAUUGGAUUUCCCAGCCUCCAGAACUACAGAGUCUUGCUCUGUCACUCGGGCUGGAGUACAGUGACACAAUCACGGUUCACUGCAGCCUGGACCUCCCAGGCUCAAGUGAUCCCCCUGCUGCAGCCUCCUGAGUAGCUGGGACUACAGGCCUGUGCCACCAUGUCCAGGUCCGGUCCACUGCUAGGAGAUCCAUAUCUACUCUUUGGGAGUUCUCCAGAGGAAAAAAUCAACAGGCGGGAGAAAGAUACUCUGCUAGCUUCAGAUUCAUUAGUACUAGGAAAUGGAGAGAUAGGAGGUAUAAUGUAUUAGGGAAGCAAGGGAUUCAGAACCAGGUGCCCACUGACUCUGAGAAGCACUGGGUGCACAGAGGGUAGCAGACAAGCAAGAGGGUGGAAUUUGCAGCAUCUCAUCUUGGUGAGACAGUUGGAAGACUUUUCUGCCAAUUAUAGUGGUUAAACACUGACUCAACAUCAAACAACGGC